GUCCCGUAGAGCAAUGGAUAGUGCGUUGGACGUCUAAUCCAAAGAUCGUGGGCUCGAAUUCCACCUGGGAUG
Molecule: non-coding RNA, 72 nt
Organism: Trichonephila clavata
Lineage: Eukaryota; Metazoa; Arthropoda; Arachnida; Araneae; Nephilidae
Source: the annotation of a GenBank genome assembly